AGCUUUGCGCAACGGCAGUAUUGCAGCCAAUGAGGUUUAUCUGAGGUGCAAUUAUUGCUAAUUGAAAACUUUUCUCAAUACCCCACCAUGAAGACUUAAAAUACAGUAGGCAUUGGCAAUUUUUGACAGUCUUUACGGAGA
Molecule: small nuclear RNA, 141 nt
Organism: Sapajus apella (tufted capuchin)
Lineage: Eukaryota; Metazoa; Chordata; Mammalia; Primates; Cebidae
Product: U4 spliceosomal RNA
Exons: 1
Source: RefSeq, a predicted model, not a curated record